CCUACGGGUGGCAGCAGUGGGGAAUAUUUCGCAAUGGGCGAAAGCCUGACGCAGCGACGCCGCGUGAGGGAUUAAGGUCUUCGGAUCGUAAACCUCUGUCAGCAGGGAAGCACGGUCACUGUGCUAAUCAGCAGUGAAUUGACGGUACCUGCAAAGGACGCACCGGCUAACUCCGUGACAGCAGCCGCGGUAAUACGGAGGGUGCGAGCGUUAAUCGGAAUUACUGGGCGUAAAGCGCUCGUAGGCGGUAUGUCAAGUCAAGGGUGAAAGCCCCGCGCUCAACGUGGGAACUGACGUUGAAACUGGCAAACUGGAGUGUGUGAGAGGAUAGUGGAAUUCCAGGUGUAGGAGUGAAAUCCGUAGAUAUCGGGAGGAACAUCAGUGGCGAAGGCGACUAUCUGGCAUAUAACUGACGCUGAGGAGCGAAAGCGUGGGUAGCAAACAGGAUUAGAUACCCUUGUAGUC
RNAcentral lists this ribosomal RNA (465 nucleotides) under uncultured bacterium. Its description in RNAcentral is "partial 16S ribosomal RNA". It matches the Rfam family "Bacterial small subunit ribosomal RNA", at positions 338 to 795 of the family's 1533-position model. The record is from RNAcentral.